Molecule: long non-coding RNA, 872 nt
Filed under: Bos grunniens (domestic yak)
Lineage: Eukaryota; Metazoa; Chordata; Mammalia; Artiodactyla; Bovidae
Description: lncRNA (ENSBGRG00000024071.1)
Source: RNAcentral
AUGGAACCACCAGUGUGCACAGCUGAGCUGUAUUUUCUGGCCCUACCACCUCUAUGCCGGCCUGGGAGGGAAGUGAAGUCUGCUGCUGCUGCUGCUGCUAAGUCGAUUCAGUCGUGUCUGACUCUAUGCGACCUCAUAGACGGCAGCCCACCAGGUUCCCCCGUCCCUGGGAUUCUCCAGGCAAGAAUAAGAGCUUCAUUAUUACCAAUAAUCCCUGAGAACUACAAAAAUCCUGCUAUACUGCCACUAAGUUUUGCUGCAUGGCCAUUAAUUAACAGCCUUUUUAGGAAGGAACACCAAGUGUGUAAUGAAUCUUUGCAAGUACAACUUCCACAUAUUGCGGUCCUCUGAGUUCACGUCAGUGGAGUCCCUUUCUGGUGGAUGAUUCUAUGUCUGAACAGCCCCUCAUGUGAUGGGAGAGAAAAGGAACGGGAAGAGAUGGAAAUGAACAGAGAAGAGGUCUGCUGAGCUGGAAACCUGUAGACUUUUCUAAGUGACAAAGGGUGAGUGUGGCUUUAUGAAAGAGGAAACUUGGUACAUUAAUGCCAGCCUUGGGAAAAGCAACAGCCCCAGAUAAGAAGUGUGUAUGGGGCUUGGAAGCCGGGCAGCUCUGAUUUCUAGCUCGAGGGCCUUCCAGUUGUGUCUCUAAGCCUCGGUUUCCUUCUUCACCUGUAGAGUGGACUUAAUAAUUUUGAUCACCUGACAGUUGAUGUGGGAACGAAAGAAGCCCACACAGGAUAAGCAAUAUACAGAGAUUAAUGCAAGGUACCUGUCAUCAUGCUUACGAAGUUCAUGAUGCUUUGAAAGGUGUAAUUCAUUGCAGAGAUGCCGACUGGGGAGAGAGGGCCUGCCUUGCACCGGGCCUGUCCUCC